CGGUACCAAAAUUGCAGGCAUCAGGUUUGAAAAACGUUUUUGAUGGACAGGGAUUCCAAAUUUACAACAACGGUAAGGUAGUUAUUAGUGGUAAGAGACGAAGCAACGUAAACAUCGUCAAAUUCACCGUCAACACGGGUGAACAAUUGGCUGACAUACUGACAAAACCACUUCCUGCACCGAGAUUCUUACAACUAAGGACUGAAUUAGGGUUAAAAUAAUAUAAUAAUAAAUGUUCUGUAAAUUGAUUGGUUUGAUUAGGUUUUUCUGGGUUUCCCUAAUCCAAUGCAGUAAAUGCUGAACCAUAUGUAUUUGCCCCAGGAAACAGUCAGAAGGCACAAUAGAUAAAAGAUAUGGAAGUUUAAUAUUUUGAAUAUUGAGUUAGAAUAAGGAGGAUUGAAUUUUGAGGGGGUGUGUUGGAUUUUGGGGAUUUCCCCAUAUACAAAAUUCACUCUUCUCAAUUUUUAUUACUUUAAGUGGUGAUGGUUUAUGGCCAUAUUAUUUGGGGAUUUCCCUUGGUUAUAAAAUCAAGGGAAAUGCCCACAGUUUUCUUUAUUAGUUUUUAUUUUCCUCUGGAUAUUUCUAAGUGUAUCUGUUGGGCAGAGGGUAUAGUAAAUAGUAAGAGGAAAUAUUCCGGGGAGGGGGUGAAAAUUAUAUUACCCUCUUUAGGGCAAGUGGGUCUACCUUGUCUUGCCUAGUUAGUCUCUCGUAGAUUUUUGUACAGUGAAGUACCUUCUGACUGUCUAGAGUUCUUUCAAUUAAAGUUUUUAUAAAUAAAA
Molecule: long non-coding RNA, 779 nt
Organism: Diachasmimorpha longicaudata
Lineage: Eukaryota; Metazoa; Arthropoda; Insecta; Hymenoptera; Braconidae
Exons: 2
Source: RefSeq, a predicted model, not a curated record